AACGAACGCUGGCGGCAUGCCUAACACAUGCAAGUCGAACGAUUAUGGAACUAGCUUGCUAGAACCCAGAUAGUGGCAGACGGGUGAGUAACGCGUGGGAAUCUUCCUAGUAGUACGGAAUAGCCGUUGGAAACGACGAAUAAUACCGUAUAUUCCCUGAGGGGGAAAGAUUUAUCGCUACUAGAUGAGCCCGCGUUAGAUUAGCUAGUUGGUAGGGUAAUGGCCUACCAAGGCAAUGAUCUAUAGCUGGUCUGAGAGGACGACCAGCCACACUGGAACUGAGAUACGGUCCAGACUCCUACGGGAGGCAGCAGUGGGGAAUAUUGGACAAUGGGCGAAAGCCUGAUCCAGCAAUGCCGCGUGAGUGAAGAAGGCCUUAGGGUUGUAAAGCUCUUUUAGUAGGGAAGAUAAUGACGGUACCUACAGAAAAAGCACCGGCUAACUCCGUGCCAGCCGCCGCGGUAA
RNAcentral lists this ribosomal RNA (465 nucleotides) under uncultured bacterium. RNAcentral describes it as "partial 16S ribosomal RNA". It matches the Rfam family "Bacterial small subunit ribosomal RNA", at positions 29 to 523 of the family's 1533-position model. The record is from RNAcentral.